UACGAAGGGGGCUAGCGUUGUUCGGAUUUACUGGGCGUAAAGCGCACGUAGGCGGAUCGUUAAGUCGGGGGUGAAAUCCUGGAGCUCAACUCCAGAACUGCCUUCGAUACUGGCGAUCUUGAGUCCGGAAGAGGUGAGUGGAACUCCUAGUGUAGAGGUGGAAUUCGUAGAUAUUAGGAAGAACACCAGUGGCGAAGGCGGCUCACUGGUCCGGUACUGACGCUGAGGUG
RNAcentral lists this ribosomal RNA (230 nucleotides) under uncultured microorganism. RNAcentral's name for it is "partial 16S ribosomal RNA". It matches the Rfam family "Bacterial small subunit ribosomal RNA", at positions 524 to 753 of the family's 1533-position model. The record is from RNAcentral.